GGGGCCCUACAUAUGUGAAUUCACGACCAAUUGAUUGAUUGGUUGAUUUACUUGCCAUGCGUGAUUGUUUUGCCAUGUUCCAUGAUAUGUAUAUAAUCAACCUGUGUUUGUUCACUAACCCCAUUCCCUGAUAGCGCUUUGUCGUUUGCUGCUAAGGUACACAUUCUCUCUUACUCUGUCCAUUCCUUAUGCAUGCUUUGAUUCUCAUAUGUACAUGAUAUUUCC
Molecule: long non-coding RNA, 225 nt
Filed under: Vitis vinifera (wine grape)
Lineage: Eukaryota; Viridiplantae; Streptophyta; Magnoliopsida; Vitales; Vitaceae
Description: long non-coding RNA (VVIN_LNC000770)
Source: RNAcentral